This 467-nucleotide ribosomal RNA is filed under the name uncultured bacterium. RNAcentral describes it as "partial 16S ribosomal RNA". It matches the Rfam family "Bacterial small subunit ribosomal RNA", at positions 29 to 507 of the family's 1533-position model. The record is from RNAcentral.
ACGAACGCUGGCGGCGUGCUUAACACAUGCCAGUCGAACGGAAAGGCCCUGCUUUUGUGGGGUGCUCGAGUGGCGAACGGGUGAGUAACACGUGAGUAACCUGCCCUUGACUUUGGGAUAACUUCAGGAAACUGGGGCUAAUACCGGAUAGGAGCUCCUGCUGCAUGGUGGGGGUUGGAAAGUUUCGGCGGUUGGGGAUGGACUCGCGGCUUAUCAGCUUGUUGGUGGGGUAGUGGCUUACCAAGGCUUUGACGGGUAGCCGGCCUGAGAGGGUGACCGGCCACAUUGGGACUGAGAUACGGCCCAGACUCCUACGGGAGGCAGCAGUGGGGAAUAUUGCAAAAUGGGCGGAAGCCUGAUGCAGCAACGCCGCGUGCGGGAUGACGGCCUUCGGGUUGUAAACCGCUUUCGCCUGUGACGAAGCGUGAGUGACGGUAAUGGGUAAAGAAGCACCGGCUAACUACGUG